UACGUAGGGGGCAAGCGUUGUCCGGAAUUAUUGGGCGUAAAGAGCGUGUAGGCGGUCCGGUAAGUCAGCUGUGAAAGUCAAGGGCUCAACCCUUGAAUGCCGGUUGAUACUGUCGGGCUAGAGUCCGGAAGAGGCGAGUGGAAUUCCCGGUGUAGCGGUGAAGUGCGCAGAUAUCGGGAGGAACACCAAUGGCGAAGGCAGCUCGCUGGGACGGUACUGACGCUGAGACGCGAAAGCGUGGGGAGCAAACAGG
Molecule: ribosomal RNA, 253 nt
Filed under: uncultured bacterium
Lineage: Bacteria
Description: partial 16S ribosomal RNA
Rfam family: Bacterial small subunit ribosomal RNA
Source: RNAcentral